UCCCAGUUCGGAUUGUAGUCUGCAACCCGACUACAUGAAGCUGGAAUCGCUAGUAAUCGCGGAUCAGAAUGCCGCGGUGAAUACGUUCCCGGGUCUUGUACACACCGCCCGUCACACCAUGGGAGCCGGGAAUGCCCGAAGUCGGUGACCUAACCGGAAGGGAGGAGCCGCCGAAGGCAGGUCUGGUGACUGGGGUGAAGUCGUAACAAGGUACC
This 215-nucleotide ribosomal RNA is filed under the name uncultured bacterium. RNAcentral describes it as "partial 16S ribosomal RNA". It matches the Rfam family "Bacterial small subunit ribosomal RNA", at positions 1286 to 1500 of the family's 1533-position model. The record is from RNAcentral.